Postia placenta Mad-698-R is the source of this 103-nucleotide non-coding RNA. Lineage: Eukaryota; Fungi; Basidiomycota; Agaricomycetes; Polyporales; Adustoporiaceae. The record is from Rfam.
UCCCGUUUAGCUCAGUUGGUAGAGCGCGUCACUAGUAUGUAGUUGUCGAUGGUGAGAUGGUCAUGCCAUGACGAGGUCAGUCGUUCAAAUCGGCUAAUGGGAA